GAACUCCGCCUCAUGCAGGAUGCCCAGGGCUCGGAAGCAGUAAGGAGGAUGCUACAGAAAGGAACUGCAGAAAGAAAAAAAGCCACAUGGUUAACUUUUCCCCUGGAGGGCAAAGGGGUCCGGCUCUCAAAAAGAAAAGCCAGGCACAGAUCCCAACACCAAGUGUAAGGCAGCACAAAGUGGGUCUGAAACCCCAGGACCGGGUCAAAGGCCUUCCGAAGGCCCGAGGUUCUUGAGGAGGGGAAGCUGAUAGGGCCCUGGUCUUUCUGCACCAGCGUGGCUCUUUAAAAUACAAAACACCCACAAAGCCAAAAACCCUGAAACAUGUUCUUUAGCUAACCCCUUCCCUGCCCAGAUGCCUGCAAUUCUGAGAAUUCACUUCAGUUUUGCCAGAUCCAACCCCUAGGCUUGAGGGUGGAGAGCCAGGCCUCCUCAGGGUCCCUUCUAGGCUCCCAGGCCCACCUUAGGCUUUAAUUGCAUUGGCUGUUUCUUAUGGUGUUAGUGAAUUUUGCAAAGAAAGCCCUGAGCAUUGCAUAAAUGCUUGGGGGCGUGUCAUUUAAAUGGAAGUUCUCCAAUAGUGGCUGAAGGCAGAGUUUACUGUUAUCCCUCCCUCUUGCUGGCUUUGCUGGAGGGCUUUUAUCAGAGAGAUUGGAGGUGGGAGAGCACUUUUAAAGCACACCCCACCCCCUGCACCCGAGCGGCACCUAAGCUUCCCAGAGACCAUGACCUUGUAUGUGGCUGGAGGCCUCAGGCUUAGGGAGCAGCCUGAAGCCUUUGCUGUCAACCCUCCCAGGAAAGAAGCCGGGCCUCAGGCUGAGGAAAAACAGAGUUUCCUCUCCAGAGGGCUCAAUGAGCAGCCAGGUAGUGGCCUCGGGCAGUCCUCACCAGGGGGACACCUCCCUGCUUUGCAUUAACUCAUCAGCAAGCUCAUCGAGAGCUAACGUGGGCCCAGCAGUCCUGUGCUUGGAAAUGAUGCCGUCACCUCCACACUCCUGCUGUUCCAGCCUCUGCAGGUGAAGCUGCAAGGUGAGCAGAGGCAGGCGUGGGGACACACUCUUCAAGGACUGCACUGCCCCUUCUCCCUCCUGAGAGCUCUGUGCACUGGGUUUGGGGAUGAGGCGCCAGCCUGGUCAGGGGAGGUGACUGUGGUCCUUCUGACCAGCUUGGAUCUUUAAAAUAAUCACAAAAAAGCUCAGCCUGAGCAGGUGGGUGCAAGGCUCAGGGGCCUGUGUUUUUCAUCAAUCAGUUUUCUUCCUGCAAGAUUCUUAGAGCUGGAUGUUCACGGGAUCAUGGGGCAUGGAGGUGGUCACGCUCAGACAGUCAUGCACCACCCUCAAUCCCAGGCCCUGCAGAGAUAGGAAGAAUCCCAACCAGAGGGAUUCUUCCCCAAACGUUCCCUUGUGGCCCAAGAGUGAGUUCCGGCCUGAGUGCUGUUAUGACUGCCGGCGUCUCUCCGACUGCCUCUCGCCUCAGUUUAACCAUCUAUAGGUUAGGAACAAAGAAGGGCUUAGGCAGCCAUCGUUUCCCCAUUUCUGUCAGAGCCAAGGGCUUGGAGGCCCAGCCCCAUCCGGGCAAGGGCUGUCCGCUCCUGCCCAGGCCUCACCUCCUCGCUGCAGCUGGCAAGAUUCUUUCUAGCAGAACAGAAACACUGGCCCCCAAUUCCACUCUCCCCUCCUGAUGCUACCGCAGAGGGCAGAAAGGUGCCCUGUAGCGUCCACCAUGUGUGUGUCCUGAGUUUCCAGUGCAAGUCAUCUGGAUUUGCAUUUAGCUAGGGAAACUCGGCCCUCAAACCCUCUCCCUCUCUGCCUGAAUUUGCCAAAAUGCCAACCAUCCGGGCAGGUGUGGAUGCCACAGUCCAUCCCCAUUGCAUUUCACCCCCACAUGGACAGAGGCACACACUCGCACACAUUCCCAGCACCUUUGACUGCUGGGGGAUGCAGGCCAGGGUCUGCCUGGAGCCUCAGGGUUGGGACUUAUCUCCAAAGGAGCCCACACCCCCUCUUCCAGGAUGGGCACUGGCUGGCAGCACUUUUUUCCCUCAUCACAUCCCUGACCCCUGCCCAGCCCACAUGCACAUGCUGUUUCCUGUCUCCAGGGCCCUAGCCUGUGGAUCUCUUCCUCCCAUGCACUCCUAGGGUGAAUGGGCUCAGCACCAAACCUGGCUGUGCCCAUUCCCCACAACCCCAGCUUGGCCUCCUGUGGGAAGGAGAAGGCAGACCUGCCCAGAGGAGAGGGGCAGUGUUCCCACCCACCUGCUCCAGCACAGGAACCAGGGAGGAAAGAAGGGAGAGGGAGGUUCCAUUCACCGUUUUCUGGGUUAGCGCUUGAUUGGAUGUUUCAAGCAAGGGACAAGGUGAUGGUGGCUGUAAUAGGCUCCUCGUGGGCACCGUCACCCCAGAAGGCCUGGGCACCCAUGAGAACCUGUGGCCAGCCCUUUUCAUUGGCUGAGUUCCCUGCUGUUGUGCGUGGUGCCAUUUUUUUUUUAAACAACAUAUAUAAAAACAAAACAACUGGU
This 2515-nucleotide long non-coding RNA is filed under the name Homo sapiens (human). RNAcentral's name for it is "non-protein coding lnc-PSEN2-4:1". Lineage: Eukaryota; Metazoa; Chordata; Mammalia; Primates; Hominidae. The record is from RNAcentral.